UCUCUCCCAUCUACAGUAGAUCUCAAUCACGCCGCCUAGGCCUCUGCCACCCACCUCGCCGUCCAUGGUCCACCCCAUCCCCAUCCCCAUCCCCCUCCCCUCCCAGCGUCGGUCGGACUUCAGCGCCUCUCCUCAUGGUGACUACGGAGCACCUCACGGACGAGCGACACUUGGGAACAUACGUGCCUGUGGCCGACCGCCCUUCUCAUGCUCGAUCUCGUGGCCAUCCGUGUCACGGCUAGCAUGCGAGGGCAGGGUAGGCGGUAGAGAUCCAUUGAUGGUGGAGGUGGCUGAUGGGGACGACCAAUGCGGUGAAGCUCAGCGACGGCCGCAACUGGCGGUAGGGGCGCGGGCGGAAAGAGCUCUCCGCGGUACAGAUGGCGGUCGAGAGGAACAGAGGAUACAAGGUUGGCGGCGACCUGAGCCCAGGGAGCAUGAUCAAAGCAGCGACAAGGGGCACGACCUGAGUAGCGACCUGGCGCGUGGGGAAGAGCCUCUCCGUCUCCUACCUGUACACCAGGCUGCGCUCAUCCUACUCCUGCUCUGGCUGCCAGUAGGGUAGGCUUUUGGUACCGUCGUCGCGUCUGUUGUAGCUUCGGUUGUGCACUAUGCACAACGCUGCUACUUUGUGCUGUUUUGGUGUAUAAAAAUCGUUUUCAUAUACGGAGUGAUUAUGCCAAAGCUGCCGCAGCCACCGGAUGCCUCGUAGGAGAAGGUCGGGCAGAAGCUGAGAUGUUCCUAAUCUCCCAUCUAGCAGUUUGAUUGCUGAUGUGUUUGAUGUUGAGGUGUCAGUUCUGGAAGCAGAGGUAAUGGAAUUUGCAUUUUAUUUCCAGAAAUGCCUAUGACGGAGAUUGGAAUUUCAAGGAUGAAGAUACUGAUUUAUGCCAUCUUUCUGCUUCAAGAAUACAUUCUAUGUGCUCUCUUCCUUUCACUUCAGACUUACGAAUGUUUAGCCUGCUACGAAACUCAUGUGUUCGGCCUAAAGAGUUACAAAUUUAUCCGUGAUGGCCACAUGCACUAAUGCCUGAUGCAGUCUUGCGGGGAACAAUCAGCUAGCAGCGGCAUUUUCUCUGGCAAUGACAUGAUCAAUCCAUUGGUAGAUGAUAAUUACCUCAGGCGAAAUUACUCCGAAGUGCUCGCAGAUUACCUACACUGAAAAAUAAUUUCUUGCUCAGCGCCGACGAUUUAUUCCAGCCAACGGAGUUAAAGAUCAUAUUUAUGCAACUUACUUGACACUCCCUCCCCUUCCCGCGUGCGGGUAGUGAGGUUUGGUCGCCAGAGAUUAUCGAGAGAAGUUCAUUGCUGCGGCAUGCAGAAAGUACAGCAACAUCAGAGAUCCUUUUACAAUUGAGCUUAUUGCGUGCCGUGAUACUGUCCUGUUUGCCAAGGAUAGGGGCUCUGGGUGAAAGUGCGGAUGGAACCGAUUGCCGGAUGGUUCAAUCCCUGUGUCAGGAUAGGCAGGGACAACGAGCUGAAGGGAUCCAGUUGUUGCGCUCGAUGCAGGUUCUGUUUCAGAAGUUCAGUAACCAUCUGUCGUUCCUUGAGCCAUAGAUCCAAAUCAUACACGUAGGUAGCUAGGGCGGUGGCCACGUCGAUUAAAAGCGGUCAGAGGCAGUACUAAUCUAAUGCCAAUGCAAUCCAUCGAAGGUACACUUAAAUUUCUUGAUAUUUUUCAGUUGAAAUUUUACACUAGAGUUUUCACACGACUGCUCCAUGUAUGUCGUAAAUUGUGAUUUAUGUAAAAAAAAAUAUCUGCAUGUUUUUAAACACCCUUUAGAUUACACUUUAGAUUUCAAGAUGAAUAACAUAUAUUUACUGCUAGAGGGAUGGUGUAUAUCGCUUCUCCCCGUGGGUAGUAGCACCAAAUAUCUUUUUUCUUGCCCCACAUAAAUCUCUACAAUAAUCUUACCAGGGAGUUUAGUUUUCAUGUACGGAAAAUUUUCUAUUACCUUAUUUAGCUUGAAAAACUGUGGAAAGCAUCCAUCUUGCUGUGAUACUGGGAGUGAAAAAACAAAAGAUUUAGUCUUUUUGAGAGGGCAAAUUUUAGUCUUCUGGUAACUUUCCUGAUAUUUGUAGUAUUAUUAACUGGUCUUUGGAUUAGGAGUGUUAAGUGCCUAAUUUUUGUUGCUAGACUGACACAAAAGUUGAGAACAGUGUUGCACAAAAGCUAAUUCAAAUAAAUGUUUUUUCCUUUGAUUGAUCUUAUUACAUCAGUCUCCGUGAAGAGGCCAGCUAUCUAUGUAAUUAGGAUGAGUAGCCAACACAACAAUGUGCUUAAGAAAUGAACACGGAAAGAAGUAUGAUAGAAAUUAUUUUUCAAAAUAUAGACAUGUAUAAAUUCAUCGAAACUUUCACAUUAGUGUUAGUGUCAGACUACUUCCUUGUAUUUAAAAUUUCAGGUUAAGGGCUAGCAUUUCUCGUACUGAGAUACUAACUCACACGUUCAAAGGUAUGAAAACUGGAAAGUUGUUAUUUGUUCAAUGUAUGAAAAAUUUCGCUUAUUCUUAGAAGUAAGCAUAUGCAAAUAAUUGUCAUUUUGUUCAAAACUGUUGUUGGACUCACAAGAGCAGUAACAAAAAAGAGAUAUAUUAUAGUGGUGGUGCUCUAGAGCAGUUUGUUCUAUUUUAUAUGUGAACGUAGGCUCCGCAUACUACUUACUAAUAUCUAACAACGGACUUGCUGAGAAAAUAGGAAUGCCCGCCUGGUGACGAUAAGUAUGUGAAAAAGAAGUAAGAAAUGAGGACGAUGACACCUACUGUCAUGCAUGAAGAAAGAAGGAAGAAUUCGACUCUCAUCGACCAUUGGUCUGAAAUGAAGUUCGGUGCAUGUCACUCUUGAUUUAUUGUUUUGAGAAAUAUAAAAGGCAUGUAUCUUUUCUAUAGUUUUCUGCCCAUAUUAUGUUGAAUGGUGGUGCAUAUGAUGUUGAAUUAUGAGAAGUGAAAAUUUUGAUGUUUCUGAAAUACUAUGUGGGUAUGUUUCCUAUCUGUAAAAAAAGAGGAUGU
Molecule: non-coding RNA, 3002 nt
Organism: Lolium perenne
Lineage: Eukaryota; Viridiplantae; Streptophyta; Magnoliopsida; Poales; Poaceae
Source: RefSeq, a predicted model, not a curated record